Molecule: ribosomal RNA, 105 nt
Filed under: uncultured bacterium
Lineage: Bacteria
Description: partial 16S ribosomal RNA
Rfam family: Bacterial small subunit ribosomal RNA
Source: RNAcentral
CCUUGUACACACCGCCCGUCACAUCACGAAAGCCAGUUGUACUAGAAGCCGGUAAUUUAACCGCAAGGAAACUAGCCGUCCAAGGUAUGACUGGUGGAUUGGGUG